AUUGAACGCUGGCGGCAGGCUUAACACAUGCAAGUCGAGCGGUAGCACAGGGGAGCUUGCUCCCUGGGUGACGAGCGGCGGACGGGUGAGUAAUGUCUGGAAAACUGCCUGAUGGAGGGGGAUAACUACUGGAAACGGUAGCUAAUACCGCAUAACGUCGCAAGACCAAAGAGGGGGACCUUCGGGCCUCUUGCCAUCAGAUGUGCCCAGAUGGGAUUAGCUAGUAGGUGGGGUAAUGGCUCACCUAGGCGACGAUCCCUAGCUGGUCUGAGAGGAUGACCAGCCACACUGGAACUGAGACACGGUCCAGACUCCUACGGGAGGCAGCAGUGGGGAAUAUUGCACAAUGGGCGAAAGCCUGAUGCAGCCAUGCCGCGUGUGUGAAGAAGGCCUUCGGGUUGUAAAGCACUUUCAGCGAGGAGGAAGGUGGUGAGCUUAAUACGCUCAUCAAUUGACGUUACUCGCAGAAGAAGCACCGGCUAACUCCGUG
RNAcentral lists this ribosomal RNA (490 nucleotides) under uncultured bacterium. RNAcentral describes it as "partial 16S ribosomal RNA". It matches the Rfam family "Bacterial small subunit ribosomal RNA", at positions 30 to 507 of the family's 1533-position model. The record is from RNAcentral.